CUAGUCUUGGGUACAGUCUUGGCUGUGAUUUGAACAACUAUUUUAACACUUUGUAACUUCGCUACUUCAUUGUAAUAUUGAACUUAACCACUUUGGUGAACAAAAGCAUAUAAAAAUAUUAAAGGAAAGUCAACUUGGUCACAUAGUUGCCAACCCAAUACAUCACAAUUAAAUGUUCGAGUAAAAUAAAUAAAUAACUACACACAGUAGCAAUUGCAAAUCGAUUUUUUUAUCACGAAUUUUAAGUGACACUAGCAACACUCUCUCGACAACGCAAUUCGCGCUCUCUGACUUCUCAACUCACACUGACUGUUAUUUCGUCUUUCUCCCUUAGCAUCUCUGUUUUUUCUCAUAGCCCCACCACGCACGUAUUCCGCAACCGUUCGUGGCCAGAAUCACGUAGGUCUUUCUUCCGCGUAAAUAUUCGAUUGAAGGACCGACGACGACACAUAGGUUGUUGGUACUUCGGCUUUCUCGCGACAUCGUUUAUGGUUCGCCUGAUAUCUUUUAGGUUAUUCGUCCACGAUACUACAUGUAUGUACUUAUGUAUUAGUACCAUCUCUUACAUGCGUCAGAAAAAUUGAUACUUUUAUAAAUAUUAAUAAAAUUAUUUUAAUAUUAUUAACAAAAUUGGGGAAGAUUAUAGAUUCGCGUUUUAGCAUUCAAUAUUCAGAGGUAAUUGCGUAAAUAUGUAUGGUAUCUGUGAGAUGAAUAUAAAUUUUUGGAAAACAUUGAUCGGAUAACGAGAGUAUCUUCCUGGCUGAAAAUAAAGUUGGUAGGAUGGUUCAUAAUUGCAACUAUAGGAGAAACGUCUCAUUGUCACGCCUUCACCCGCGUGAAUGUUACGAAACAAACUUUUCGCGAUGUGAAUGCAAACUGCCGUUCUCAGUGCCGUUUCACCAAAUCCAUUUUGCUGCUACACGUUCAUUUGUGAAGCGUAGAAAUACGGCGAUAACGAGCGAGAAUAGCUGGCGAAUGUAGCAGCUUGCAUGAAAGAUCUAUUGAUGAUAAUAUGCGGUUUGGCUGCUUUUCAAUUAAAAUUUAUUCUGUUAAAUUCCCGCUAUCACAAGCAUUCUAUUCACAUUUAUUAAGAAUACGACUGUCAACUGGCGUGAAGGCACGAAAGAAAUUAAGAAAACUGUUAGGUUGGCAACUAAGUGAUUGCGGAUUUUGUCAAUACCACCUAAUGAUAAAACCCGCAAUCACUUAGUUGCCAACCAAUAACAUAAUAUCUGCGAAAGAGCGGAAUCUUGCGUUGAAGCAUCCACAGCAAUUAAGAAUUUGUAAAGUGUUAAAAAAACAUCGUGACUCGAUAAAAUUACGUCUGAUUCGCAGCAAUAAUUGCAUUUCGUUCCUCUGAAGUUGUCAGUAACUUGAAACUGCUUCGAUCUCGUUUACGUCAAAUUAUUUGGGUUUAGUCGUUUUCUUUUUAUUCUUUUUUCACCAACUACCAGCGCAAUAAAGAAAAUUUCAAAGUAGAAGGAAUUUUUUCGUCGUUAGAAAAUAGUUACGAGAAAAUAGUUAGAUAACGAGCGACUUCGAUUAUUGGCAAUUUUGUGGGGCGGAAUGGAACCGAAGAACUCGUUAAUACAAGAAGUUUCGCCAUAUUGGUUGAGAAUGAUACAGGUCGGUCGUGAACAGGUCCAACAACUUACCACGUCCCUGUCUUUCGAUUUAUAUCGUACGUGUAUACAUAGAUCGAAUUGUCGACAUACUUCAAUUUCCAGAGCAGCUUUUAAGCUCAAGUUAUAGGAAUCUGAUCGAUAACUAUUGGGUUGGCAACUAAGUGAUUGCGAAUUUUGUCAAUAGGUGGUAUUGCCAACCCAAUACAUCACAAUUAAACGUUCGAGUAAAAUAAAUAAAUAACUACACACAGUAUCAAUUGCAAAUCGAUUCCUAAACUAUAGAAUAUAUUGUUUUAACGAAGGUUCUGUAGCGAGAAAGAAAUUUGAAACUUCAAAAUAGAAAGAUAUCUUGUUUCACUAAUCCUAAAAUGUGUGAGUGAACUCGAAACCUAACUGUGUUGUCUGUGCCAGAGGAGAGUUGAAGUUUCGAAGUUCUGUAUAUUAUUUUUCACGUUCGCUUUAUUAAUUCAUUUCAGGCACGAACAACGAGAUCCUUUCUUAUAUUAAUAUCUUCAUGCUCAAGUUCUAGUUUCUUGUUAUCUUUUCCUUUUUCCACGUUACUCCAUAAUGUAUGCUUAGUUUCGUUCAAUUUUGUACAAGGUACAUUUGAAACCAACAGAAAGAAGAAACUCGUGACGGAUUUUAUUGAACCGAACACAGCGAUAAAAAAAAAUUGUAUGCUUUUCGGUGGUCGGGAAUUUGCGAAGGGUUCUAAGUUUUGGUUGCUUGAAAAGCUGUCCAUUUCGAUGUACGUGGAACGUCCUUCAACCUCAAUGGCUGGCCAACCGUGGACUCGCAAUAUCCGGCAAAGACGGCAUCGACAGCAGAAAAUAUAAGAGAAAACCGGAGAAUUCCAGAAUGCCACGAUUAUUCUGGUUCUUUCAAUCUUGGUGUGACACAGUUGAAACGAGUGCACGAGACCUUCGAUUGACAUAAACGAGUAUGGGGUGUGAAACGCGAUGAAUAGAGUGAAAAAUAUGUUUCAAUGGUGCAAAACCUCGAACCGUAUAAAUACAUGUUUCUUUAUCCAUCCGCCUUUUUCUCGCGUGAUAACGAGUUGCAAAAGUAAAUUCUAUUUUAUUCCGGCAUAAAUCCAUAUUGCGAAAACGACGCGCUACAAGUGGUUUCACAGCCGUUAUUAUUGAGCGUUCGAUUCAAGCCUUUAAUUAUAAGUGGGGAGUGUCGCUUGAGCAUCGAAACGAUCAAAUUAGUCGCCAUACAUAAACUAUAUAUAUUGUAGAACGAGAUGCUAAAUACGUUUUAAUAUAACCGAUAUGAGUGAAGUUGGCGCGAAUUCGAUAACGUUAUUCAAAACAAUGCAAAAUUUUAUUCGUAUAAUUUAUAAUGAAUAAAUAUAAGAAAUAAAAUUUUGUUCAUCACUAAUGUAUAGAUAUCCAAUUGAAUAAAUAUUUAUUUGAAUGAGGAA
Bombus huntii is the source of this 3051-nucleotide long non-coding RNA. RefSeq lists it as uncharacterized. NCBI's taxonomy places the organism in Eukaryota, Metazoa, Arthropoda, Insecta, Hymenoptera, Apidae. The transcript has 2 exons. The record is from RefSeq and is a predicted model, not a curated record.